GCAAACGGGUGAGUACGCGUAGCAUCAUGCCCUGAGAUGGGACAACAGGCGAAAGCCCUGCUAAUCCUGAAUGUGUGCUUCCUCCGCAUGGAGGGAGCAUUAAAGACGGCCUCUAGUUGUAGGCCGUCACUCAGGGAUGGGCGUGCGUCUGAUUAGCUGGCUGGUGAGGUAUCGGCUCACCAGGGCGACGAUCAGUAGCCGGUCUGAGAGGAUGAACGGCCACAUUGGGACUGAGACACGGCCCAGACUCGUACGUGAGGCAGCAGUGGGGAAUCUUCCGCAAUGGGCGAAAGCCUGACGGAGCAACGCCGCGUGAGCGAAGAAGGCCUUCGGGUCGUAAAGCUCUGUUGUCGGGGACGAACGUGCCUGAGGCGAACAGCCUCAGGGAGUGACGGUACCUGGCGAGGAAGCCACGGCUAACUACGUGCCAGCAGCCGCGGUAAUACGUAGGUGGCAAGCGUUGUCCGGAAUCAUUGGGCGUAAAGGGAGCGCAGGCGGGAAGGUAAGCCGGUCUUAAAAGUGCGGGGCUCAACCCCGUGAGGGGAUCGGAACUAUCUUUCUUGAGUGCAGGAGAGGAAAGCGGAAUUCCCAGUGUAGCGGUGAAAUGCGUAGAUAUUGGGAGGAACACCAGUGGGGAAGGCGGCUUUUUGGACUGCAACUGACGCUGAGGCUCGAAAGCCAGGGGAGCGAACGGGAUUAGAUACCCCGGUAGUCCUGGCCGUAAACGAUGAAUGCUAGGUGUGGGAGGUAUCGACCCCUCCCGUGCCGGAGUCAACGCAAUAAGCAUUCCCCCUGGGGAGUACGGCCGCAAGGCUGAAACUCAAAGGAAUUGACGGGGGCCCGCACAAGCGGUGGAGUAUGUGGUUUAAUUUGACGCAACGCGAAGAACCUUACCAGGCCUUGACACUGAGCGAAAGGGCAAGAGAUGCCCCCUCCCU
RNAcentral lists this ribosomal RNA (938 nucleotides) under uncultured bacterium. RNAcentral describes it as "bacterial SSU rRNA". It matches the Rfam family "Bacterial small subunit ribosomal RNA", at positions 98 to 1019 of the family's 1533-position model. The record is from RNAcentral.